GGACGAUUAGCUCAGUUGGCCAGAGCGUUCGCUUGACGUGCGAAAGGUCGCAGGUUCGAGCCCUGCAUCGUCCACUA
Molecule: transfer RNA, 77 nt
Filed under: Candidatus Microgenomates bacterium
Lineage: Bacteria; Candidatus Microgenomatota
Description: tRNA-Val
Rfam family: tRNA
About the family: Transfer RNA (tRNA) molecules are approximately 80 nucleotides in length. Their secondary structure includes four short double-helical elements and three loops (D, anti-codon, and T loops).
Source: RNAcentral